GUUGAUCACAAUAUCCCAGUGAAUACUCUAGGUCGUCUCUGGUCUCAGAAGCUAAGCAAGGCAGGGUCUGGUGAGUACUUGGAGGGUUUUGUUUCACAACUCACCAUUGAUCAAUC
Molecule: ribosomal RNA, 116 nt
Organism: Cricetulus griseus (Chinese hamster)
Lineage: Eukaryota; Metazoa; Chordata; Mammalia; Rodentia; Cricetidae
Source: Ensembl